UGAUCUUGUGGUUGCAGUGUGGAUGAAA
Molecule: non-coding RNA, 28 nt
Filed under: Homo sapiens (human)
Lineage: Eukaryota; Metazoa; Chordata; Mammalia; Primates; Hominidae
Source: RNAcentral